Molecule: ribosomal RNA, 762 nt
Filed under: uncultured Peptostreptococcus sp.
Lineage: Bacteria; Bacillati; Bacillota; Clostridia; Peptostreptococcales; Peptostreptococcaceae
Description: bacterial SSU rRNA
Rfam family: Bacterial small subunit ribosomal RNA
Source: RNAcentral
GAUGAACGCUGGCGGCGUGCCUAACACAUGCAAGUCGAGCGAGGGUUUGCUCAGUAUUGAGUAUUCUAAGACUAGAAUGUUCAAUUCUGAGCAAAACCAAGCGGCGGACGGGUGAGUAACGCGUGGGUAACCUGCCCUAUACACAUGGAUAACAUACUGAAAAGUUUACUAAUACAUGAUAAUAUAUAUUUGCGGCAUCGCAGAUAUAUCAAAGUGUUAGCGGUAUAGGAUGGACCCGCGUCUGAUUAGCUAGUUGGUGAGAUAACUGCCCACCAAGGCGACGAUCAGUAGCCGACCUGAGAGGGUGAUCGGCCACAUUGGAACUGAGACACGGUCCAAACUCCUACGGGAGGCAGCAGUGGGGAAUAUUGCACAAUGGGCGAAAGCCUGAUGCAGCAACGCCGCGUGAACGAUGAAGGUCUUCGGAUCGUAAAGUUCUGUUGCAGGGGAAGAUAAUGACGGUACCCUGUGAGGAAGCCCCGGCUAACUACGUGCCAGCAGCCGCGGUAAUACGUAUGGGGCUAGCGUUAUCCGGAUUUACUGGGCGUAAAGGGUGCGUAGGUGGUCCUUCAAGUCGGUGGUUAAAGGCUACGGCUCAACCGUAGUAAGCCGCCGAAACUGGAGGACUUGAGUGCAGGAGAGGAAAGUGGAAUUCCCAGUGUAGCGGUGAAAUGCGUAGAUAUUGGGAGGAACACCAGUAGCGAAGGCGGCUUUCUGGACUGCAACUGACACUGAGGCACGAAAGCGUGGGUAGCAAACAGG